CCUACGGGGGGCUGCAGUGAGGAAUAUUGGUCAAUGGACGCAAGUCUGAACCAGCCAUGCCGCGUGCAGGAAGACGGCUCUAUGAGUUGUAAACUGCUUUUGUACGAGGGUAAACGCAGAUACGCGUAUCUGUCUGAAAGUAUCGUACGAAUAAGGAUCGGCUAACUCCGGGCCAGCAGCCGCGGUAAUACGGAGGAUUCAAGCGUUUUCCGGAUUUUUUGGGGUUAAAGGGUGCGUAGGCGGUCGGAUAAGUUAAGGGGGAAAUCCCGGGGCUCAAAUUCGGAAUUGCCUCUGAUACUGGUCGGCUAGAGAGUAGGAGAGGUAGGCGGAAUGUAUGGUGUAGCGGUGAAAUGCUUAGAGAUCAUACAGAACACCGAUUGCGAAGGCAGCUUACC
RNAcentral lists this ribosomal RNA (395 nucleotides) under uncultured bacterium. Its description in RNAcentral is "partial 16S ribosomal RNA". It matches the Rfam family "Bacterial small subunit ribosomal RNA", at positions 338 to 730 of the family's 1533-position model. The record is from RNAcentral.